GAACCAAACUAAAAAUCCAUGCUUGAUCAUAAUCAAGAUAAUAAUUUAACCUUUAAUUAUAUAGAUCAAGAUAGGUUUUGAUACCACUAUUGGGUUUCGGUGAUGCAGCAGAAGGAUUAUGUGUUUAAAAUUUUCAUUAAAAACACCCGAUGCACCAGAAAUCCUAAUACCCAGAAACUCUUGACUAUAUCAAUCAAAGUACAAUAAAAUAAAUUUGGAUCAAAAGAAUACCUAUAAUGCU
RNAcentral lists this long non-coding RNA (241 nucleotides) under Elaeis guineensis (African oil palm). RNAcentral's name for it is "long non-coding RNA (EGUI_LNC043659)". Lineage: Eukaryota; Viridiplantae; Streptophyta; Magnoliopsida; Arecales; Arecaceae. The record is from RNAcentral.